AAUGUAUAGCAAUAGCUACUUGCAUCAUUGUAAAUAUGAUGCAAGAUCGACUAUGUCGAAUAAAAUUCUAGGUAGAAUUAUGAUAAUGACAUUGUCUGCCUAUGUGUCUUGACCAAAUUACGUGCCAGCAGUCGCGGUAAUACGUAGAAGACUAGUGUUAUUCAUGUUUAAUCGGUUUAAAGGGUACCUAGACGGUAAAUCAAGCCUAAAAAGAAAGAAAUAAAGGGACUAAUUUACUAGAGUUACUUAUGAGGGGGUAUUAAAGUACUGCUGGUGUAGAGAUGAAAUUCUGUCAUACCUCUUUUCAAUAGAAAAAUAACGGCACAGGUAUAGGCGAAGGCAUCCCCUUAUGUGAUAACUGACGUUGAGGGACGAAGGCUUUGUGUAGUGAACAGGAUUAGAUACCCCAGUAGUCAAAGCAGAAAAUGAUGAAUGUCAUAGAUUAGAUGUAUAAGUUUAUUCUAUAAAUGAAAGUGUAAGCAUUCCACCUCAAGAGUAAUUUGGCAACAUUGGAACUGAAAUCAUUAGACCGUUUCUGAAACCAGUAGUGAAGUAUGUUGUUUAAUUUGAUGAUCCGCAAAAAACCUUACCACAAUUUGAAUAUUUAUAUUUUUAUUUAUUGUUUUUUUUUUAAUUUUCUUCUGAUUUUCUGCUUGAGGAAAAAAGAAGAAAAGUAAAAAAAGGCAAUAAGAUAUAUUUACAAGCGUUGCACGGCUGUCUUCAGUUAAUGUCGUGAGACUAUGGUUAGUUCCAUUAAAUUAACGUAANNNNNNNCUUUAUUUUUAUAUAGAGUAGUUCCCCGCUAUAU
This 808-nucleotide ribosomal RNA is filed under the name Vulpicida viridis. RNAcentral's name for it is "partial small subunit ribosomal RNA". It matches the Rfam family "Bacterial small subunit ribosomal RNA", at positions 360 to 1161 of the family's 1533-position model. Lineage: Eukaryota; Fungi; Ascomycota; Lecanoromycetes; Lecanorales; Parmeliaceae. The record is from RNAcentral.